Non-coding RNA from Oryza barthii, 197 nucleotides. Lineage: Eukaryota; Viridiplantae; Streptophyta; Magnoliopsida; Poales; Poaceae. The record is from Rfam.
AAUAAAUGUAGUUUUGCACUAUUCACAUUCAACGUUUGACCGUUCGUCUUAUUUGAAAUUUUUUUAUGAUUAGUAUUUUUAUUGCUAUUAGAUGAUAAAACAUAAAUAGUACUUUAUGUGUGACUAAAUAUUUUCAAAAUUUUCAAAUAAGACGGACGGUCAAAUGUUGGGCACGGGUAUCCACGGCUGCACUUAUU